RNAcentral lists this ribosomal RNA (1451 nucleotides) under metagenome. RNAcentral's name for it is "bacterial SSU rRNA". It matches the Rfam family "Bacterial small subunit ribosomal RNA". The record is from RNAcentral.
AGAGUUUGAUCCUGGCUCAGGAUGAACGCUGGCGGCGUGCCUAAUACAUGCAAGUCGAACGGGAAGCAGCAAUGUUUCUAGUGGCGACCGGGUGAGUAACACGUAGCUGACCUGCCCUACCGCGGGGGACAACAGUCCGAAAGGAUUGCCAAUACCGCAUACGCUCGGAGGAACUAAAGUACUCUGAGGAAACUUACGGGGCGGAAGGAGGGAGCUGCGGCCCAUCAGGUAGUUGGUGAGGUAACGGCUCACCAAGCCGACGACGGGUAGGGGGCCUGAGAGGGUGGUCCCCCACACUGGAACUGACACACGGUCCAGACUCCUACGGGAGGCAGCAGUAAGGGAUAUUGGUCAAUGGGCGAAAGCCUGAACCAGCAACGCCGCGUGGAGGAUGAAGGCCUUCGGGUUGUAAACUUCUUUGGAGGGGGACGAUAAUGACGGUACCCCUCGAACAAGUCACGGCUAACUACGUGCCAGCAGCCGCGGUAAAACGUAGGUGGCAAGCGUUAUCCGGAUUUACUGGGCGUAAAGGGUGUGCAGGCGGAGGCCCAAGUGGUGUAUGAAAGCUCCCAGCUUAACUGGGAAGGGUUAUGCCAGACUGGGCAUCUAGAGUGUGGGAGAGGGACGUGGAAUUCCGGGUGUAGUGGUAAAAUGCGUAGAGAUCCGGAGGAACACCAGAGGCGAAGGCGGCGUCCUGGCCCAUAACUGACGCUCAUCCACGACAGCAUGGGGAGCGAACGGGAUUAGAAACCCCGGUAGUCCAUGCCGUAAACGAUGCAGACUAGGCGCUGGAGGUCUCAACCCCUUCGGUGCCGUAGCUAACGCGCUAAGUCUGCCGCCUGGGGAGUACGACCGCAAGGUUAAAACUCAAAGGAAUUGACGGGGGCCCGCACAAGCAGCGGAGCGUGUGGUUUAAUUCGAGCCUACACGAAGAACCUUACCUGGGUUUGACAUGGCUCUGAACGCGGUGGAAACACCAAGGUUCGCAAGACAGAGUCACAGGUGCUGCAUGGCUGUCGUCAGCUCGUGCCGUGAGGUGUUAGGUUAAGUCCUGUAACGAGCGCAACCCUCGGGUCUAGUUACACGGUGUCUAGACCGACUGCCCGUGACAAGCGGGAGGAAGGUGGGGAUGACGUCAAGUCAGCAUGGCCUUUAUAUCCAGGGCUACACACACGCUACAAUAGCCGGUACAAUGGGUCGCCAAGCCGCAAGGCGGAGCCAAUCCAUCUAAAGCCGGUCUCAGUUCAGAUUGAGGGCUGCAACCCGCCCUCAUGAAGUCGGAGUUGCUAGUAACCGCAGGUCAGCUAUACUGCGGUGAAUACGUUCCCGGGCCUUGUACACACCGCCCGUCACGUCAUGGGAGCUGGUUAGGCCUGAAGCCAGUGAGCUAACCGCAAGGAGGCAACUGUCCAAGGCAUGACCGGUGACUGGGACGAAGUCGUAACAAGGUA